This is a long non-coding RNA of Pseudophryne corroboree (corroboree frog), 1721 nucleotides long. RefSeq lists it as uncharacterized. The record is from RefSeq and is a predicted model, not a curated record. The transcript has 3 exons. Lineage: Eukaryota; Metazoa; Chordata; Amphibia; Anura; Myobatrachidae.
CUGCUCCCCCGUCUCCUGCUCUCUGCUCACUUAUCUCAAUCCGACUUUUUUUAAAGUCGGAUUGAGAUUGUCGGAAACGGGGCUAAAACCUGUCGGGUUUGGCCCCGCUUCCGACAAUGCACGCUGAUUGGCAGCUGAAACCGCCGAUCAGAGUGUAUUCCGACAGCAUUCCGACAAGUCGGGUUUCCCGACUUGUCGGAAUAAAUGAGGCCGUAAUGAAUAGGUCGGAACCCCUUCCGACCUAAAACUUUCGGAAGCUGCCGUCUUUCCGAGAACACGGCAGCUUCCGAUAGCUACAGAUGGGUCCAUUGUUAUCUUGACUAGUUUUCUGCGCCUAGGUACAACAUGACUUAUUAGCAUAAACCCUUCAUCAAUUGUUCUCAGAUGAAAUACAAUACAGAGAACAAUACAGCAGGGGAUUACAUCAUUACAGCAGGGGAUUAAGUCCGACUGCCCAGUCUCAGUUAAUCCUAUUAAAGGUCAAGAUAAACGUGGACCCAUCUGUAUUGAAUAUACCCCAUAGUCUCCAUUGGAAUGAAUCUGAGUUACAGUAACUGACAUUACAUUAAGGUUUUUAUACUUUUUGACAUCUAUAUACUCCCAAUUGGGGAGAAAAUGGAUUUCUUACUCUAGAGAUAAAGUGCUUGAUAGCUCUCUCUCUCUCUCUCUCUCUCUCUCUCUCUCUCGCUCUCUCUCUCUCUCUAUAUAUAUAUAUAUAUUGUGUACUAUUUCAUGUUAUCAGUGAUUUUCACUCUUUAUUGAGCUACACAUUUCCUGUGUGGAGCACAGGUGAUAACAAGAAAUUCUUUUGAAAUAAUUCACACUAGUAUGACUUCACUUUGGGGUAGCUGUUAUCCCUUCAACUGUCUCAGUCGUUUAUAGGGUUUAGAGCUCCUCUGGCACUGAGGAACUUUCCUAACUGGAGGUCACUCUAAUGCUAAUGCCGGAUAUGUUUUGUCAGUUGUUGACUUCUUCAGUGGUAUGUAUUUUUCAUAAGUAGCUGAUCCUGAUAUGUCCCCUGUUACAUCCCUUUCAGACCACCAGCAAUAACCCGUGUUAUGUACAAUGAACGUGCAGCAACCUCAGUCUGAAAGGGGCCAGUUGAAAUAACCUGGAUCGAGCAAUCCAGUAUCUCAACUGACCCGGCUCGCAGUACAGUGUGAACAGGAAGAAGAGCAAUAAAGGAAAAAAACAGCAUACAGCACUGCACUGAAAGUUGAUGUUCUGAUCAUGCUUCUGCGGAACUUGACUGUGCCCAAGUUAUGCAAUAGAACCCAACUUCAAGUGACUGCUUUGCAGAGGACCCUAAGGGAGGCAGAGAUUCGAACCAGAUGUGGCACAGUUGACCAUGGAAUAUCCAGCAGGGAUGAAAGUUUACGAACCGUCUUUUUGCAAAGGUGACAUCCUUCACAUUACCACGCUUAAAGUCAAUGAGCCCUUCAGAACGACCCAUUUUAUGUGACAAAUAUUUGCAAAUGGAAACUGCUAAGCUACUGUAGGAGGAGCUUGAUUUUAUACACCUGUGGCAAAUCAAUUUGGUCAGUAUGUAGAAGGAUUGGAAUUAUUGAUUUAAAUAUUGACUCAGUUUCACCUUUUAAUUUACAUAAAUUAGAAGUAUAUUUCUGAUGGCCGAUUUCAAAUACUUCACAAACUGGGAAUGAUCUACAGUAAUUAUUUUAACCUUGUUCUAAAUCUUGAUCCAGGCAUACAUCAGAUCAGGC